RNAcentral lists this ribosomal RNA (449 nucleotides) under uncultured bacterium. RNAcentral describes it as "partial 16S ribosomal RNA". It matches the Rfam family "Bacterial small subunit ribosomal RNA", at positions 354 to 796 of the family's 1533-position model. The record is from RNAcentral.
GUCGAGAAUCUUUCACAAUGGGGGCAACCCUGAUGGAGCGACGCCGCGUGGAGGAUAAGAUCUUCGGAUUGUAAACUCCUGUCAUGCGUGAACAAGGUUGCUUGGUUAAUACCUGGGCAAAUUGAUGGUAACGCAAGAGGAAGAGACGGCUAACUCUGUGCCAGCAGCCGCGGUAAUACAGAGGUCUCAAGCGUUGUUCGGAAUCACUGGGCGUAAAGGGUGCGUAGGUGGCGUGGUAAGUCAGAUGUGAAAGCCCGGGGCUCAACCUCGGAACUGCAUCCGAUACUGCCAUGCUAGAGUACUGGAGAGGUGACUAGAAUUCUCAGUGUAGCAGUGAAAUGCGUAGAUAUCGAGAGGAAUACCAAAGGCGUAGGCAGGUCACUGGACAGUUACUGACACUGAGGCACGAAGGCCAGGGGAGCGAACGGGAUUAGAUACCCCAGUAGUCC